Small nucleolar RNA from Solanum dulcamara, 107 nucleotides. Lineage: Eukaryota; Viridiplantae; Streptophyta; Magnoliopsida; Solanales; Solanaceae. The record is from RefSeq and is a predicted model, not a curated record.
UAGUGAUGAUGAGGAUUGUCUUUGAGGAGAGAUUUGAAUCUUUCUCAUUCUUUGUAUAGAUUCUCCCCUUCUUGCUGCUUAAAACUCAAUAUUGUGUUUGUCAAUCU